RNAcentral lists this long non-coding RNA (3084 nucleotides) under Homo sapiens (human). Its description in RNAcentral is "HSALNT0159754". Lineage: Eukaryota; Metazoa; Chordata; Mammalia; Primates; Hominidae. The record is from RNAcentral.
CAGAUGCCUCCUCCUACCUCUUCACAGCUGCCAUCAGCCCAGGAAAACCUUCAACUCAGUUAAGUACCAAGACACCUGCCCAAGAUGGAGAUGAGAAACAAAAAAAGGAGCAUCGGUGUCAUGCCCUCUGAACUGGUCACAAGGAUUCAGGGCAGAGAUACAGGCUCUCUUUCCAAGCAGGGGACUUCAGAUCCUUGGAACUAAAAGUGUGGACCAUGAACCAGCAGCAUCAGCAUCAUCUGGGAGCAUGUUGGAAAUGCAGAGUGUCAGGCCCCACCAGUCCGCUGCAUCAGACUCUGAAAAAUCUCCCCAGGGAAUGAACAUUUGUGAAGCGCCUAUCUCCAUGACAUUGUGGAUCUAGGAGAGCAAGGGGUAAAAUCUGAGCAAACCUGUAAGGUAGGAGAGAAGAAUCAAUUCUAUAGGUUCACAGAGGGCUGAAGAGUCCAGAGAUGUGAGAUCUGAGAAUAAGCAGAAUCAAUACAAACAGACCAGUCUAUGAGAUUACAAUCCCAGGGACUUGGGCUUGCUGUUUGAUGCUUCCAGCUGAGUGUCUACACCUUGGGAUCGCAGGUGUUAAUUACGGCCACAAAGGGCCCGGAGACCUAACUGCGAAUCCAUCACUUUAAGAGGAAUACCUGCAUCCCUGUUAAUGGUUUCCCAAGACACACAUCCCUUCCCCCAAAGGCAGACGCUUCAUAUGGAGGACAGCAAGUCCCAUGACAUUCACUAGGAGCUGGGGGAGCUGGGCAGGAGCAAGUGAAGUGUUAGAUGGAAAGCCCCACUUUUAAAAAUGUCCUCAAUCUCAGCUGAGCAUGAUGGAAACAUGCUGUUUCCACAGUACAUAUUGUGUUGGCUUUUAUUAGAAUGUGUUGUUGCUGCCAUUAAUUUAAUUAUUUUAUGGAUUGAUUUUGCAGAGCUUGCAUCCUGAGGCUAUACAUAUUUUUUUAAAGCAGAGAACUCACUUGAGAAUGAAUGUACAUAUUGCACAUGUGGCUGAAACUCAUUUGCUCAGAAAAGAUGGGAAGCAGCUGGCUGGCUUCUUGCACAUAUACUUAAGGAGCAUGCCUAAGUCACAUGAAUGUCCUCAUUACCAAACUGAAGAACUCCAGGACCAUCUUUCUUUCUUAGUCACAUCAAUAAUGACCAUUUAUAGAGUGUGCGCCCAUCUGAAGCACCAUGCUAAGUGCUUUGCAUACAUUACAUCUUAAUUCCGUAAGACACUCAAGUUCCCACUGGGUUCUAGUCUCAGCUUCAAAUGGUCCACCAUUUACCUUCUCUAUAUCUCAAUUUACCCACCCUUAAAAAGGUGGCAACUACCUUCUCAAGCUGCAUACAAGAGUUGUCUUGAGCAGGGGUCCCCAUGCUCCAGGACAGGGACCCAUACCAGUCCAUGGCCUGUUAGGGAACCGGGCUGCACAGUACGAGGUAAGUGACAGGCUAGCGAGUAUUCCCGCCUGAGCUCCACCUCCUGUCAGAGCAGCAGCAGCAUUAGAUACUCAUAGGAGCACAAACUGUAUUGUGAACUGUGCAUGCAAGAGAUCUAGGUUGCGCGCUCCUUAUGAGAAUCUAAUCCCUAAUUAUCAGAGGUGGAAUACAUUCAUCCCAAAACCAUUUCCCCUCCCCAUGCCCCAGUCGAUGGAAAAAUUGUGUUUCACAAAACCAGUCUCUGGUGCCAAAAAGGCUGGGGACAGCUGGUCGUGAGGAUCAAACAAGAGUGCCCAGGUAGGAGCAGUCUGUGAUAUAAGGGCUUAAUAUUCCUGCGGAGCUUUUGUUUUCAUCUGGAACUUCUUCUUCAUGCACUCCAUAAAAAUUUAUGUGUAGGAACAAGAAGCAGUGCUGUUACCUGUGCUGCAAAGCAGGGGGUCUGCUUCAGAGAACUUCCUGCUGCUGCGCUGGCCGACUGCACUAAUGCACAUCCCGCUGAGCGACUGCUAUCAAUAACUACUUCUUCCUGACUUCUCCCCUACUAGUUUGCACUGAGCCAGCCCUCCCAUGUUGGGCGACUUGGGCUCUGGCUUUUCCUCCCUAAACGAAUUACACUUUCUUGCUCCUUAUUAAUCUUGUCAUACUUUAUAUUUAAUUCCAAUUCUGUCCUUCACACUAUUGCCCACACACACCCAAAUUGGAGCUGUCAGCAAGUUAUCCCUAGAGCCUUACUGGGUCACAUCACCCAAAUGCCCUCAGGUACUUCCUUUACUUACAAACAGCAAGGGAGUUUAAUUUAUUUGAACAUUGAGCGUUUGGUGAAGCCUGACUGCACUUUAAUGUAUCUAAUCAACACUUCAAAUGCUCUACGAUGAAAUCCCCGAUACCAGAUAACCAGUCUGGUGGCUUAAAUGUCAGUUUCAAUAUAAUGUUCAUUAAAUAGCAUGUCCUCUUCAUUAGACCCUAUGCCAGGUGUUUUACCUAUAUAUAGAUAUUUAAACCUUAUUUUAGCUUUGUGAGAUAAAUAUUAAUAUCCCAGUUGUAAAGUUAAGGAAACAGAGGCUCAGGAAGGCUAAAUCACUUGCCCAGAGUCGUAGAGCUACUUGGAAAAACUGAAGUUCCAAUCCAGGACUCCCAAUUCCAAGUCCAAAUGCCUUUCCACCAUGCCACAGUUCCCAUUGAGAGCAAUGUGGAAGACACAUUUGCAGAACUCUUCAGGGCAAGUGUUAUCAUUAUUACAUCCUGGAGCUUGGUAAAGUUGUCUUGAGAUGCUUCAAAAGGAAUGUCACUUGCUUGGUCUAGCUGAAUACAGAAUCUAUUUUCCUAUCACUAAUUACUUCAUAUUGGUGUAAAACACAUGAAGUCCUGACUGCAAAGCCUUAUAGUGCUCAUUGAAAAUGACUAAGUGUUAUUUUAAGUUUGGCAGGAACUAGCACAUUUUCACAGCCUGAAAGAAUUUUUUGGCCAACAGGUUUUGUUCAGAUCCACAGUUGUUAACCAUUACAGAUGCCUAAAAAAAACUAAGAUUGGGGUUGUUGAAAUAUUUAACUGAUGUCUGGGGUCAAUAGAAACUGAGAAUCUUCAGUUUCUACACUGUCACUAGUGCUCCAAAGUGAAGGAGAAGUUCAUUUUCCUUCACCUUUCAAAAAAGAUAUUUCU